Non-coding RNA from Megalops atlanticus (tarpon), 73 nucleotides. The record is from the annotation of a GenBank genome assembly. Lineage: Eukaryota; Metazoa; Chordata; Actinopteri; Elopiformes; Megalopidae.
GGCAGUAUGGCAUAGUGGUAAGGAGCAGGGCUUGUAACCAAAAGGUUGCUGGUUCAAUUCUCGGUUACUGCAC